GACGUAGGGCGCGAGCGUUGUCCGGAUUUAUUGGGCGUAAAGAGCUCGUAGGCGGCUUGUCGCGUCGAAUGUGAAAUCUCGGGGCUUAACUCCGAGCUUGCAUUCGAUACGGGCAGGCUAGAGUUCGGUAGGGGAGACUGGAAUUCCUGGUGUAGCGGUGAAAUGCGCAGAUAUCAGGAGGAACACCGAUGGCGAAGGCAGGUCUCUGGGCCGAUACUGACGCUGAGGAGCGAAAGCGUGGGGAGCGAACAGG
This 253-nucleotide ribosomal RNA is filed under the name uncultured bacterium. RNAcentral's name for it is "partial 16S ribosomal RNA". It matches the Rfam family "Bacterial small subunit ribosomal RNA", at positions 524 to 776 of the family's 1533-position model. The record is from RNAcentral.